CAUUAAGAAGCUAUGAAACAGCACUAGCCUUUUAAGCUAACAAAAGAGGACCCCAUCCCCUCCUUAAUGA
RNAcentral lists this transfer RNA (70 nucleotides) under Eudynamys scolopaceus (Asian koel). RNAcentral describes it as "tRNA-Lys". The record is from RNAcentral. Lineage: Eukaryota; Metazoa; Chordata; Aves; Cuculiformes; Cuculidae.